CACGUAGUUAGCCGUGGCUUUCUGGUAAGGUACCGUCACGCAUCAAGCAUUGCCUCUUGAUACUUUUCUUCCCUUACAACAGAGCUUUACAACCCGAAGGCAUUCUUCACUCACGCGGCGUUGCUCGGUCAAGGUUGCCCCCAUUGCCGAAAAUUCCCUACUGCUGCCUCCCGUAGGAGUCUGGGCCGUGUCUCAGUCCCAGUGUGGCCGGUCACCCUCUCAGGUCGGCUACGCAUCAUCGCCUUGGUGAGUCUUUUAUCUCACCAACUAGCUAAUGCGCCGUAAGCCCAUCUAAGCGUGUUGGACUAGCCAACUUUCAUUCAUCGAAGAUGCCUCCAAUGAAUCUAUUCGGUAUUAGCUUUCGUUUACCAAAAGUUAUCCCGAUCGCUAAGGUAGGUUGCUUACGUAUUACUCACCCAUUCGCCACUGACCGCUUAGAAGCAAGCUUCUAUUUGGUCCGUUCGACUUGCAUGUAUUAGGCACGCCGCAGCGUUCAU
This 497-nucleotide ribosomal RNA is filed under the name uncultured Bacillota bacterium. RNAcentral's name for it is "uncultured Firmicutes bacterium partial 16S ribosomal RNA". Lineage: Bacteria; Bacillati; Bacillota. The record is from RNAcentral.